Molecule: ribosomal RNA, 245 nt
Filed under: uncultured bacterium
Lineage: Bacteria
Description: partial 16S ribosomal RNA
Rfam family: Bacterial small subunit ribosomal RNA
Source: RNAcentral
UACGGAGGUGGCGAGCGUUGUUCGGAAUUACUGGGCGUAAAGGGCGCGUAGGCGGCUGGGCAAGUCGGAUGUGAAAUCCCCGGGCUUAACCUGGGAACUGCAUCCGAAACUGCCUGGCUUGAGUCCUGGAGGGGGUAGUGGAAUUCCCAGUGUAGCGGUGAAAUGCGUAGAUAUUGGGAGGAACACCGGCGGCGAAGGCGGCUACCUGGACAGUGACUGACGCUGAGGCGCGAAAGCUAGGGGAG